Rattus norvegicus (Norway rat) is the source of this 1609-nucleotide long non-coding RNA. RefSeq lists it as uncharacterized. NCBI's taxonomy places the organism in Eukaryota, Metazoa, Chordata, Mammalia, Rodentia, Muridae. The record is from RefSeq and is a predicted model, not a curated record.
CUAGCCUCCACAGACCCGCCUCCCUACACCUCCCCACACAUAAAAGCGCCCCCCACCCCAGCCGCCCGACCUCCACUCGCCCGCCGCCUGCGAGCACCCGCCCCUCGCGGGGGCCGGGCUGCGGGUCCGGGGGCGGGUGGUGUCGCCCCGGCCGAACCUCGGCCCCCUCCCCCACAGUCCCGACAGUCGCCGCCGCCAUUUUGACCGCCCGCCCCUUCCCUCAGGACUGUACUCAAGCGACAGGCGCUGCGCGGGCCCGGCCGCCCGCCCCAGCACGCCCAGCUUGCCGGGCGCUGCCCCGGUUACCUCGGCUUCUCCGCACUUGUGUCCGCGGAAGGCUUUAAGGAGGGACUCUAACUGGACAUGCAGCCACUGGAUUGGCUAGACUGACUUUCCUGUGAGCCCCAUGAGUUCUGGAGUCUCUGCUUCCUCGGUGCUGGGAUCAGAGGCUCCUGACCAGACAUCAGGAUGUGGGAGAGAAAAUGGCAGAAGGUUGCACCCCGUGAGCUGCACUGGCAAAGGGGCAGUGAGCAGAUUAUUCAUCAGCCUUUUCCAGAUAGUGAGAGAGACACCCAUGGGAGCGGCACAGGCCAUGAGACCUUGCUGGAGAAAGGACAAAGGUGCACCGCUGACCACAGAGCGUGACAAUGAUGUGUUCCUCCAAGCCUCUCUGUUAUGGAGAUGAGAAAUCGGGGCACAGAGAGGUUGAGUGACUCCUCUACACUCAUACACCAAGAAAGCAGGUGGUGUCAGCAAAGUCCUUGUUACUGUUGUGUGGCUAGCUGGGAACUUACUACGGAACCUAGGCUGAUUGGAACUUAUGGCAAUCCUCCUGUCUCAGCUUCCCGAGUGCUGGAAGUAGGUGGUGACCGCCGUGCGUGUGUUUAUUUAGUUUUAGUCUUAUUACCAUUUCCUUUUGUUUAUGUGCAUGUGCACACGUGGGUGUGCAUGUGCACACGUGGGUGUACUUACGCCCGUGCGUGGCUUCCUUCCUUCAUCUUACUCUUUGACAGUGGGAUCUCUCCCCGAACCUGGAUGGCGUUCACUCAGCUGGCUCCUGAGCCCAGGAUUCUGCCAGUUCACCUCUCACCCCUCCCUGCCCCAUAGAACCAUUGCUAGGGGUCAGGCAACAGACUAAACCUGACUCUUAAGAGGCUUCCGGGAUGGAACUCAGGACCUCAUGCCUGUACACAAGCACUUCACCAACAGGGUCAUCUCCAUAGCAACAUUGUUCUUAGUUUGUAGAUUGAGAGGAAAAUGACAUAGAACUUUCUCUGUAGUCCUAGAUUCCAUCUGGCCAGUCGUGAUUAGCACUGAGCUAUACUCUCAGUCCACACUGACUGCCGUACAGAGUUCCAUUCAGGGACUAGGGCAUGGCUCAUCCAGAGAGUGUCACCUAGCAUGGAGGAGGCAUGAGUGGGACACUCACCACUGCUUACGUAUGGAAAGUCCAGGGAGCUUGCUUAGUGGGUGAGAGGGUGUUGGCUGCCAAGUCUGAAACCCUGAAUUUGACCCACUUGGUUAAAGGAGAAAAUUGAAUUCUACAAGUUGUUCUCUAAUCCCCAUUUGUACACAAACAUAAUAAAUGAAUGUGGUGACAAUGACGAUG